UACGUAGGGAGCAAGCGUUGUCCGGAUUUAUUGGGCGUAAAGGGCUAGUAGGCGGUUCGGCAAGUCGGGUGUGAAACUCUAGGCUCAACCUGGAGAGGCCACCCGAUACUGCUGUGACUCGAGUCUGGUAGGGGAGCACGGAAUCUCUGGUGUAGCGGUGAAAUGCACAGAUAUCAGAGGGAACACCGGUGGCGAAGGCGGUGCUCUGGGCCAGUACUGACGCUGAAGUAGCGAAAGCGUGGGUAGCGAACAGG
This 254-nucleotide ribosomal RNA is filed under the name uncultured bacterium. RNAcentral describes it as "partial 16S ribosomal RNA". It matches the Rfam family "Bacterial small subunit ribosomal RNA", at positions 524 to 776 of the family's 1533-position model. The record is from RNAcentral.